Molecule: long non-coding RNA, 535 nt
Organism: Salvia splendens (bonfire salvia)
Lineage: Eukaryota; Viridiplantae; Streptophyta; Magnoliopsida; Lamiales; Lamiaceae
Exons: 2
Source: RefSeq, a predicted model, not a curated record
CAGGCCAAAAACUUUAAAUUAGUAAUUCACUAUCUUCAACUUUUUUUCACCUUGCCUGAAAUCCAAAAUGGGACUGAAACUCCUAAUCUCUCUUCUCCCUUUCUGUCAUGGCCGCUGGCCGAACCGAUCGUCCCCGCCCUUUUUUCGUCGUUGCUGGAUAUACGAACUGCUUGCCGCCGCCAGCUCAUCUCUCUUCUUCUCUCCCGGCGGUCAGCGCUGUCGGUCUCAGUCGUGCUUCUUCCGCCGCCAAUUCUCUCUUGCUCCACCACGGCGCUAUCGCUGCUGGUCAUCUCCCGACGGCGGAACUCGUGCCGUCUGCUCACGCCUCCAGUCUUUUCACGGCAAAUUCAGCGUCGUGGCAUUGCUGUUUGGACAGGGGAGAGAGACACACACUGAAAUCAUCAAGCCUUUCAAGAUUUGUGUAUUUAAAUAGGCUAGAAAAAGUCUUAAAUAAAACUAUACAAUGUUAGACAGUUCAAGGUUUUACUAUUUUCUCUCCAUAACAGCCUUCAUAAUCCUUUGCCUUUUCUCUCCA